GACGAACGCUGGCGGCGUGCUUAACACAUGCAAGUCGAACGGAAAGGCCCUGCUUUUGUGGGGUGCUCGAGUGGCGAACGGGUGAGUAACACGUGAGUAACCUGCCCUUGACUUUGGGAUAACUUCAGGAAACUGGGGCUAAUACCGGAUAGGAGCUCCUGCUGCAUGGUGGGGGUUGGAAAGUUUCGGCGGUUGGGGAUGGACUGGCGGCUUACCAGCUUGUUGGUGGGGUAGUGGCUUACCAAGGCUUUGACGGGUAGCCGGCCUGGGAGGGUGAACGGCCACAAUGGGACUGAGAUACGGCCCAGACGCCUACGGGAGGCAGCAGUGGGGAAUAUUGCACAAUGGGCGGAAGCCUGAUGCAGCAACGCCGCGUGCGGGAUGACGGCCUUCGGGUUGUAAACCGCUUUCGCCUGUGACGAAGCGUGAGUGACGGUAAUGGGUAAAGAAGCACCGGCUAACUACGUG
RNAcentral lists this ribosomal RNA (468 nucleotides) under uncultured bacterium. Its description in RNAcentral is "partial 16S ribosomal RNA". It matches the Rfam family "Bacterial small subunit ribosomal RNA", at positions 28 to 507 of the family's 1533-position model. The record is from RNAcentral.